ACCUAUGUUAGAGGUGCUAUUUAUAAAUAGUAAUAAAUUGUAGCUGGCAAGUGAUGAUAAUUUAUGAAAGGUAUAAUAGCCGAAGGAGUAAUUUAUGCAAAGGAUUAUUUCUGGGUAUGCAUAAAAUAUAUGCAUAACUGUCACGUAAGUGGAGGGCUACAAGGUGC
Clostridium celatum DSM 1785 is the source of this 167-nucleotide regulatory RNA element. It matches the Rfam family "Lysine riboswitch aptamer". Rfam says of the family: Riboswitches are metabolite binding domains within certain messenger RNAs that serve as precision sensors for their corresponding targets. Allosteric rearrangement of mRNA structure is mediated by ligand binding, and this results in modulation of gene expression. Lineage: Bacteria; Bacillati; Bacillota; Clostridia; Eubacteriales; Clostridiaceae. The record is from Rfam.